CUACUGAAUCACAAAAUAACUUAAUAGUGCUUAUUGUGAUAACGUAAGGGAAAAAAAUGAUAUUACCUUACUAUAAGUGUUGUCUAAAUUACUGGUGCCAGAAGACUCGGUAACACCAGAAACGCGAACGUUAGUCGUCUUAAACAGGCGUAAAGGGUGAGUAGGCAGUUUACAAAUUCUUAAUUUAAGCAUAGGCUUUAUAAAUUAAAUAAUUAUUUAAUAUAUAAUAAAAAUAUAAAAAGUUAAAAUUUAUUUUAUAAUAAUUUAAAUUAAGAAAAAUAUAAACUAGAAUCUUAUGGAGGAUAAUCAAUAUAAUGCUUAGAGUAGGGAUGAUAUCCUCAGAUACUAAGUGGAAUACUAAUGGUGAAAGCUAUUAUCUAAUGAAGAUUGACGCUGAGGAACGAAAGUGAGAAUAGGGAAUAGGAUUAGAUACCCAGUUACCUCUCACCGUCAACAAUGAGUGGUGGUUAUUAUUUUUAAUUAAUUGAUAGCGAUGUUAACGCGAUUACCAUUCCGCCUUGAGAGUACGGUUGCAAAACUGAAACCAAAAAAAUUAGUCGGUCUCGGAGCAAAUGGAGUGAAGCAUGUUAUUUAAUACGUAAGUACGCGUAAAACCUUACCAGCUCUUGCAUAAACAAUUAUUAUUAUUAUUUUUUAAUUUAAUUUAAUGAAAUAAUUUCUUAAUUUUUAUUAAGAANUUGNUUNCAGGGNGUUGCAUGGGCUGUCGUCAGUCCGUAUUGUGAAAAGUGAGGUUAACUCNACNUAACGGACGAAAUCCCUGUAGUUAAUUUUUUCUUAACUAUUUAUGAAUUUUAAAUAUUUUCAUUUGGGGCUAAGACAAGUCGUUAUGGCCCUUAUGA
Molecule: ribosomal RNA, 860 nt
Filed under: Psilocybe tampanensis
Lineage: Eukaryota; Fungi; Basidiomycota; Agaricomycetes; Agaricales; Agrocybaceae
Description: partial small subunit ribosomal RNA
Rfam family: Bacterial small subunit ribosomal RNA
Source: RNAcentral